UACGGAGGGUGCAAGCGUUAUCCGGAUUCACUGGGUUUAAAGGGUGUGUAGGCGGGCAUGUAAGUCAGUGGUGAAAUCUCCGGGCUCAACCUGGAAACUGCCAUUGAUACUAUAUGUCUUGAAUUUUGUUGAGGUUGGCGGAAUAAGUCAUGUAGCGGUGAAAUGCAUAGAUAUGACUUAGAACACCGAUUGCGAAGGCAGCUAACUAAGCAAACAUUGACGCUGAGGCACGAAAGCGUGGGGAUCAAACAGG
This 253-nucleotide ribosomal RNA is filed under the name uncultured bacterium. RNAcentral's name for it is "partial 16S ribosomal RNA". It matches the Rfam family "Bacterial small subunit ribosomal RNA", at positions 524 to 776 of the family's 1533-position model. The record is from RNAcentral.